GGUUACAGCUGGACACAGUUUAUCGAAACAAAUAUGGAACCAGUUUUAAUCGCACAGAGGUUCUAGGUUUCAGUCAAGGUUCGGUUGUGGUAGAUGCUAAGCUGAUAUUUAACAAUGCCAGCUCAGUCCCUGAGUCCAGUGCAGUGGUUGCAACCUUAGAACAUAGAGAACAUCUCAAGCAACAGCUCUUAUAUCUCUCUCCCACUGAACACAACUUCUAUCGUGGCAACAAGAGUCAUUUCAACCUCAGCUACAACUACUACUUCUACUCCAGAUCCUCCAAUAUCAACACCAUAUACGGUCAUGAACGCAACUUCAGCCCCCUCAAACAGGUCAACUACAAAUAUGGUUGUCAAUGCAACAUCGGAUCCUGUGAACAUGUCAACAAUACACAUAGUGCCCAAUGGAACAUCAGCGCCCAUAAAUGUGUUAACAUCAGCCCAAAGUGCUGUCAAUGUCACAUCAGGACCUGUAACACAAAGCAAUACAACUUCAACACUAUCAACUACAACCCCAUCUUUGUCAACUACCCCAAUAGUCAACACAACAGCUCCUUCAACUACACCCAUAGUCAACACAACAGCAACUCCAAAUACCACAGUAGUCAACACAACAG
Long non-coding RNA from Oncorhynchus tshawytscha (Chinook salmon), 616 nucleotides. RefSeq lists it as uncharacterized. NCBI's taxonomy places the organism in Eukaryota, Metazoa, Chordata, Actinopteri, Salmoniformes, Salmonidae. The record is from RefSeq and is a predicted model, not a curated record. The transcript has 3 exons.